Pelobates cultripes (western spadefoot toad) is the source of this 693-nucleotide non-coding RNA. The record is from the annotation of a GenBank genome assembly. Lineage: Eukaryota; Metazoa; Chordata; Amphibia; Anura; Pelobatidae.
GGAGGGCUGUUCACAUAUAAGUUAUUGAAGAGAGCUAGAAGGAGAUUAAUGGACCGUGUACUGUACAUUUGUUCAUAAAUCUGAUCCAAUUACAGAUCAUGCUGGUCUACCAGUGAGAGUCCCAUCCAUGGCUGGAGAGAUGAGGACAGUAGUCCUUAUCCUAAGCUUCCUCCCAAGUAAGGCUAACCAAGGACCUUAUUAGUCUAUGGUUAUAAGACUUCUUAAUUUUACCGGAUAAGCAGCAGAGCCUUUGUGAGAGCAUCUGGAUAUCAUUAUUGGCCACCUUGUAGGAUGGUUGUUAGACAUUCCCGUAGUGUAAUAUUUGACACAUUUGUAUUUAUUGAGGUGUUAAUUCUGUCUCUUUUCAUGAUCCUCUAAUCUCCUGUAGGUGUAUGCCAGGGAGUGGUCGUCACACAGAUUCCGAAUUUGUUGUUAGUGAUGGAGGGAUCGCCGGCAAAUAUGACUUGUAGCCAAGAUGCCAACAAUGUAAACAUGUUCUGGUACCAACAGAAACCAGGAGAAGGACUAAAGCUUAUGAUCUGGUCAAUGCAAGCUGAUAAAAAGCAGACAAUGGAAUCAGACUUUCAAUCAGGCUGGGAGCUAGAGAGGAAUGACAUUGAGAAUUCAGUUCUACACCUUGAAUCUGCCAGAAUACAGAACUCGGCUGUGUAUUUCUGUGCAUCGAGUGCCACA